UACGAGGGGGGCAAGCGUUGUUCGGAAUUAUUGGGCGUAAAGGGCGCGUAGGCGGUGCGGUAAGUCACCUGUGAAAUCCCUAGGCUUAACCUAGGGGCUGCUAGCGAAACUGCCGUGCUAGAGUGUGAGAGAGGCGAGUGGAAUUACGGGUGUAGCGGUGAAAUGCGUAGAUAUCCGUAGGAACAUCCGAGGCGAAAGCGGCUCGCUGGAUCACAACUGACGCUGAGAGACGAAAGCUAGGGGAGCAAACAG
Molecule: ribosomal RNA, 252 nt
Filed under: uncultured bacterium
Lineage: Bacteria
Description: partial 16S ribosomal RNA
Rfam family: Bacterial small subunit ribosomal RNA
Source: RNAcentral